UACAGAGGGUGCAAGCGUUAAUCGGAAUUACUGGGCGUAAAGCGCGCGUAGGUGGUUUGUUAAGUUGGAUGUGAAAUCCCCGGGCUCAACCUGGGAACUGCAUCCAAAACUGGCAAGCUAGAGUAUGGUAGAGGGUGGUGGAAUUUCCUGUGUAGCGGUGAAAUGCGUAGAUAUAGGAAGGAACACCAGUGGCGAAGGCGACCACCUGGACUGAUACUGACGCUGAGGUGCGAAAGCGUGGGGAGCAAACAGG
RNAcentral lists this ribosomal RNA (253 nucleotides) under uncultured bacterium. Its description in RNAcentral is "partial 16S ribosomal RNA". It matches the Rfam family "Bacterial small subunit ribosomal RNA", at positions 524 to 776 of the family's 1533-position model. The record is from RNAcentral.